AACGAUGUGACACUCGAGAAUUGACGUGAAUUGCAGACACACCGAACUUGAAUACUUUGAACGCACAUUGCAGCGUCGAUCAAAGAUGUCGACGCUACGCCUGUCUGAGGGUC
This 113-nucleotide ribosomal RNA is filed under the name Trichuris trichiura (human whipworm). Its description in RNAcentral is "partial 5.8S ribosomal RNA". It matches the Rfam family "5.8S ribosomal RNA", at positions 42 to 153 of the family's 154-position model. Rfam says of the family: 5.8S ribosomal RNA (5.8S rRNA) is a component of the large subunit of the eukaryotic ribosome. It is transcribed by RNA polymerase I as part of the 45S precursor that also contains 18S and 28S rRNA. Functionally, it is thought that 5.8S rRNA may be involved in ribosome translocation. Lineage: Eukaryota; Metazoa; Nematoda; Enoplea; Trichinellida; Trichuridae. The record is from RNAcentral.